UCUGCAUCAGACCAAUCAGGACGGUGCAGCCGUCUUCGCCGUCGUGCGGCUCGUCGUCAACGUUCUCGAGGCGGAUGAAGAACUGAGGGUUGGAGCAGAACGUGGCUGCAGAGAGACACGAGAUCAGGUCCAGCUGAAGAGUGUACGAGCCAAGUUUUCAUGCAGAUCGGACAAAAUCCCAAGGAGGAGUUCGAAAAAUAACAGGAAGUGAAGAGAAUGAGACGGAACCAAUCAGGCGGAGGUGUUCAGAUCCAGUCCUACAGUAAAAGUACUGAUGGCCCGGCCCAGAGUCCUGUCCUGGGGAGAACCUCAAGGUCUCUCUACAGACCAGGUUCCUCAGCAACAACAUGAAAUCUAAAAGCUACAAACCUGAGAGGACACUAAAGUGAGAGAAACGGACCUGGUGACACCUGACCAGGUGCACACACACCCGUCCAGGUGCACACACACUUGUCCAGGUGCACACACACCCGUCCAGGUGCACACACACUUGUCCAGGUGCACACACACCCGUCCAGGUGCACACACGCUUGUCCAGGUGCACACACACCUGUUCAGGUGCACCCUUGUUGGGUUAAUAUUUAAACAGACUGAGUCAGACUCUGAUUAACAAGAGGUGGUUUGAUUUUAUCUUUAUCUGUAGGUCAGCAGAACGCUGCAGGUUCUGGCUCCGGCCCUGAAGCUGGAGAGGCUGUAUCCCUCUGCACACAGGUGGGCAGAGGGAUACCUGCUGUGUGUAAUCGUCUCGUCUUCUUUAUUAAAUCUCAUGAAACAAGUCUGAGGGCUGAUUCAUAUCAACCACAUGUAUCAGUUAAUAAAUGUUUCAGUUGAUAAAUAAUAAAACGUUAAUAAUUAA
Molecule: long non-coding RNA, 856 nt
Organism: Acanthopagrus latus (yellowfin seabream)
Lineage: Eukaryota; Metazoa; Chordata; Actinopteri; Spariformes; Sparidae
Exons: 3
Source: RefSeq, a predicted model, not a curated record